Molecule: ribosomal RNA, 497 nt
Filed under: uncultured bacterium
Lineage: Bacteria
Description: partial 16S ribosomal RNA
Rfam family: Bacterial small subunit ribosomal RNA
Source: RNAcentral
GACGAACGCUGGCGGCGUGCCUAAUACAUGCAAGUAGAACGCUGAAGAGAGGAGCUUGCUCUUCUUGGAUGAGUUGCGAACGGGUGAGUAACGCGUAGGUAACCUGCCUUGUAGCGGGGGAUAACUAUUGGAAACGAUAGCUAAUACCGCAUAACAAUGGAUGACACAUGUCAUUUAUUUGAAAGGGGCAAUUGCUCCACUACAAGAUGGACCUGCGUUGUAUUAGCUAGUAGGUGAGGUAACGGCUCACCUAGGCGACGAUACAUAGCCGACCUGAGAGGGUGAUCGGCCACACUGAGACUGAGACACGGCCCAGACUCCUACGGGAGGCAGCAGUAGGGAAUCUGCAGCAAGGAGGGCAACCCUGACCGAGCAACGCCGCGUGAGUGAAGAAGAUUUUCGGAUCGUAAAGCUCUGUUGUAAGUCAAGAACGAGUGUGAGAGUGGAAAGUUCACUCUGUGACGGUAGCUUACCAGAAAGGGACGGCUAACUACGUG